GGGCCGUUAGCUCAGUCUGGUAGAGCACCUGACUCUUAAUCAGGGGGUCGCAGGUUCGAAUCCUGCACGGCCCACCA
This 77-nucleotide transfer RNA is filed under the name Pseudothermotoga thermarum DSM 5069. RNAcentral describes it as "tRNA-Lys (CTT) (tRNA-Lys-CTT-1-1)". It matches the Rfam family "tRNA". Rfam says of the family: Transfer RNA (tRNA) molecules are approximately 80 nucleotides in length. Their secondary structure includes four short double-helical elements and three loops (D, anti-codon, and T loops). The record is from RNAcentral. Lineage: Bacteria; Thermotogati; Thermotogota; Thermotogae; Thermotogales; Thermotogaceae.